UACAGAGGUCCCAAGCGUUGUUCGGAUUCACUGGGCGUAAAGGGUGCGUAGGUGGUUGGGUAAGUCUGAUGUGAAAUCUCCGGGCUCAACCCGGAAAUGGCAUUGGAUACUAUUCGGCUAGAGGGUUGGAGGGGGACUGGAAUUCUCGGUGGUAGCAGUGAAAUGCGUAGAUAUCGAGAGGAACACCAGUGGCGAAGGCGAGUCCCUGGACAACACCUGACACUGAGGCACGAAAGCUAGGGGAGCAAACAGGAUUAGACUACCGUAGU
RNAcentral lists this ribosomal RNA (269 nucleotides) under uncultured bacterium. Its description in RNAcentral is "partial 16S ribosomal RNA". It matches the Rfam family "Bacterial small subunit ribosomal RNA", at positions 524 to 794 of the family's 1533-position model. The record is from RNAcentral.